CCUACGGGGGGCAGCAGUGAGGAAUAUUGGUCAAUGGGCGCAAGACUGAACCAGCCAAGUAGCGUGAAGGAUGACUGCCCUACGGGUUGUAAACUUCUUUUAUAAAGGGAUAAAAUGAGGCACGUGUGCCUUUUUGUAUGUACUUUAUGAAUAAGGAUCGGCUAACUCCGUGCCAGCAGCCGCGGUAAUACGGAGGGUCCGGGCGUUAUCCGGAUUUAUUGGGUUUAAAGGGAGCGUAGAGGGGUUGUUAAGUGAGUGGUGAAAGUUUGCGGCUCAACCGUAAAAUUGCAAUUGAUACUGGCAGUCUUGAGUACAGUUGAGGUAGGCGGAAUUCGUGGUGUAGCGGUGAAAUGCUUAGAUAUCACGAAGAACUCCGAUUGCGAAGGCAGCUUACUAAACUGCCACUGACAUUGAUGCUCGAAAGUGUGGGUAUCAAACAGGAUUAGAUACCCGUGUAGUC
This 460-nucleotide ribosomal RNA is filed under the name uncultured bacterium. Its description in RNAcentral is "partial 16S ribosomal RNA". It matches the Rfam family "Bacterial small subunit ribosomal RNA", at positions 338 to 795 of the family's 1533-position model. The record is from RNAcentral.